GAGUUUGAUCCUGGCUCAGGACGAACGCUGGCGGCGUGCUUAACACAUGCAAGUCGAACGAAGCUUGAUUACGGAUUCUUCGGAAGAAGUAUGAUAUGACUGAGUGGCGGACGGGUGAGUAACGCGUGAGUAACCUGCCCUUCAGAGGGGGACAACAGUUGGAAACGACUGCUAAUACCGCAUAAGCCCACGGGUCGGCAUCGACCAGAGGGAAAAGGAGCAAUCCGCUUUGAGAUGGCCUCGCGUCCGAUUAGCUAGUUGGUGAGGUAACGGCCUACCAAGGCGACGAUGCGUAGCCGACCUGAGAGGGUGACCGGCCACACUGGGACUGAGACACGGCCCAGACUCCUACGGGAGGCAGCAGUGGGGAAUAUUACACAAUGGGGGAAACCCUGAUGCAGCAACGCCGCGUGAAGGAAGACGGUUUUCGGAUUGUAAACUUCUGUUCUUAGUGAAGAUAGUGACGGUAGCUAAGGAGCAAGCCACGGCUAACUACGUGCCAGCCGCCGCGGUAAUUC
This 518-nucleotide ribosomal RNA is filed under the name uncultured bacterium. RNAcentral's name for it is "bacterial SSU rRNA". It matches the Rfam family "Bacterial small subunit ribosomal RNA", at positions 9 to 526 of the family's 1533-position model. The record is from RNAcentral.